RNAcentral lists this long non-coding RNA (2183 nucleotides) under Homo sapiens (human). Its description in RNAcentral is "HSALNT0155850". The record is from RNAcentral. Lineage: Eukaryota; Metazoa; Chordata; Mammalia; Primates; Hominidae.
CGGCGCCCGCUCGUUCCCUCCUCUCGCCCCUUUGCCGAGUCUUUGUCUGGCCCCAGCCCCGCGGGGCCCCGGGUCCCUGUGCCCUCGGGGGUCCCUAGAAGGCGACAAUGGCUCGAGUCCAGGCGCCGAGGCUGGCGAGCGCCUGCUUGGCGCACAGCUGCCCGUUGAGCGGCGGCGGCUGCUCCGAGGAGUCCGGCUGUCGGCUCACCAGCCCCGAGAAGCCGGAGCCAAAGAUGGAGAUCAAGUUUGAGAUGUUGGACGCGUCCGGGGACGAGUCCGGGCAGAAGUCCUCGAAGCGGGCGCGCUUGCAGGGGGCGAACGGGGCGCCCCCGGGGGGCUCGGCCCCCAGCCCGCCCGCAUCCUCCUCGUCGUCUUCCUCCUCCUCCUGGCCAGGGUAAUACUUGCGCUUGCAGCCGGCGGCGGACGCCAGGCCCGGUCCCGGAGCGCCCUGGCCACAGCAGGGGCAGUGGGCGGAGGCGCAGCAGUCCUGGUGCAAGUAGCCGUUCUCCACCGUGGUCACCACGAGCCGGCUCAGGUGUCUCUCCCUCCAGGAAGUGGGGCUUGUGCCCUUUGGAUACCUGCACUCCCCAUCACCGCACUCCCCAUCGUGGCACUUCCCUUGUUGCAGUUUUAUGGAGUGUGCGUCUGGCUCUCCAACUAGACUUGAACCGCUUGAGUGCAUAACUCGGGACUUGACCAUUUGCGUCUCCCUACGGCCAGCUCAGCCUCCGCACACAGGGACCUGCAGAGAGUGGAUGUAGCCACUGCCCCAGCGUCCCUGGGCUCUGAAGAGAAGCCAUUGCCCUUCAAGAGCCACCCUCAUUUCCUGGGCACUGGUUGGAAAAAACGAAGAAAAAGAGACACCCAGCUCACCUCCAAGUUUGCCUGCAGGUGAAUAUCUUGUUGAAAGAGAGGGGACUCCCUGAGUCUUGCUGGGUUGAGGAAGCUGAUUGGAUUUCCGGACUCAGAGGAGGGCUGCAGAGAGGGAGGAAUGGGGGGGAUGGGCAGCUGGCUUUCUGGAUGGGUGCAGGACAAUGACAUUGAUGGGGAAGCUUGGGGUGGCUCUGCCGUUGCCCACUGCUUGGCUGGUGAACUUGCUACAUCUUGGCCAGCACUAUCCUCUUCUGGCCUGCACCCUGCCAGACACAGGCAGUACCCCAAAUACCCUGUCCCUGUGCCCCGAAGUCUCCAUGACCUUCAGAUCCCAAGGGACAAGUGGCUCCACGAGGCAGGGCCUGUCCCUCUGGCUCACACUAUGGAGUCCACAGAACCUAGCCCGGAGCCUAGUGCACAGUAGGUGCUCAAUGUAUUCUAUUUGAAUGUUGCAUGAGUGAAUAAAUGCAGGAAUGUCAGGCUGGAAAACAGGUAUUUGUACACCUGUUUUCAUAGCAGUGUUAUUCACAGUAGUCAAAGGGUGGAAGCAUCCCACGUGUCUGCUGAUGGGUGAACGAGUAAACAGAAUGUGCCCCAGCCAUACAAUGGAAUGCGAUUCAGCCUUUUUUUUUUGAGACGGAGUCUGGCUCUGUCACCCAGGCUGGAGUGCAGUGGCACGACCUCAGCUUGCUGCAACCUCUGUCUCCCGGGUUCAAGUGAUUCUCCUGCUUCAGCCUCCUGAGUAGCUGGGAUUACAGGCAUGUACCACCACACCUGGCUAAUUUUUAUAUUUUUAGCAGAGACAGGGUUUCACCAUGUUGGCCAGGGGCUGGUGUCGAACUCCUGACCUCAAGUGAUCCUCCCUCUUCGGCCUCUCAAAGUGCUGGGAUUACAGGCGUGAGCCACGGCGCCCGGCCACGAUUCACCCUUAAAAAAGGAAGGACAUUCUGACACAUGCUACGACUUGGGUGAACCUUGAGUACCUGAGUGAAAUAAGCCCAUCAAAAAAGGACAAAUAUUAGCCAGGUGCUGUGGCUAAUGCCUGUAAUCUCAGCACUUUGGGAGGCCAAGGACGGAGGAUUGCUUGAGGAUUGCUCAAUACCAGCCUGGGCCACAAAGCAAGACCACCCAUGUGAGGUGUUUAGAGUAGUCAAAUUCAUAGAGACAGUAGGAUGGGGAGUGCCAGGAGCUGGGGAGAAGGGGGAAUGGGGAGUUAGAGUUUAAUGGGGACAGAUUUUCAGUUUUACAAGAUGAAAAAUGUUCUGGAGAUGAUGGUGGUGAUAGAGGCACAAUGUGGAUAUGCUUCAUGC